Molecule: long non-coding RNA, 13555 nt
Filed under: Nicotiana benthamiana
Lineage: Eukaryota; Viridiplantae; Streptophyta; Magnoliopsida; Solanales; Solanaceae
Description: long non-coding RNA (NBEN_LNC011581)
Source: RNAcentral
CAUAUUCUGUUUUUACAUAAUACUAGCCAAAAUAUAUUUACACAGUAACAAAUAUUACCAAGAAACGUUGAUCCACAAUACUAGGAGAGCAAAGAAAAUAAGCUGAAAAUAUUUCAAGUUUACAUUCCACUGCAUAUAUUUAUAUAAAAAAAACGUGAAAAAGGACUAAAAUAUGCAUGAUACACAUGUACAUCAGUAUAUGAAGACGUGCCUAUGCUUAUUCAAGGAAUGGAUUCAUUUUCACCCUAGAAAGAUCAAUAAUUCUACAUGAAACAUCCAUUGUUUCUAUCUAUUGGACCACAAUAUCAGAUUAGCAGCACAAGCAAACAAAAAUAUAGAAAAAUGAGACUUACCUAACAGUAAAAAUAGGUGAAUCUGACAAUCCAAACAAAAACCAACCGGAAGUUGAUAUCCAAUGAACUAACAGUCAAAUUCAAUUCCCUUUGCACCUCAAUAGCAAAGAAAGUCAGCAAUUACACAUAUCUUGACUCCAAAAUUCGUCCAAGAAAGCAAUAACAAGUUGGACCCAGAACUGCAAACAAAACUUGACCAAACUGGAAACCUUCGACAUCAUUGAAAGCAAUAACAACUUGGACCCAGAACCGCAAACAAAACUCGACCAAACCGGAAACCUUCGACCGGAGACUGCGAAAUCGCUAAGGGAAACCUCAAACGGAACUCAUAACACCAACGACAACCUCAAGAGUGGUUUCAUGGCUGCACAAGUUGGUCAUUUAUAGAGGUUUUGAGACGAGGAGAGGCUGGCGAUGGAGAUUGGAGGAGAAGGAUGGUCGUUUGGGCUUGAAGAAAGAAAGAGAUAGCGAGUUCACUGUUGCGGGUGGCCUUCAGCUGGUUGUGACUUAUGGUUGUUGGUCGUUUGAGGGUUGUUGGGCUGCUGGACAGUGUUGGAGAAUGAGGAAGGUGACGGGUCUGCUGAGGUUGUUUUGGACGGUGACUGGAGGAGACUGGAGGAGUUCGUUCAAGGGUGAGAUUGUUGUUGGUUAUGAAGAAGACGAAGAAGAACAGUCCUCCCCCCUCCUUCUCUCCUCAAUGUGUAUAGUCUAUUUUAUUCAAAAAUCCCUCACCUUUUUUCCUUUUCAUUUGAUUAAGUCCCCUUUUCUUAGUAUCCAUCUGCCUCCUUUUAAAUCUAAGCAUGCAAAAAAAAAUAGUGUUCUUUCCCCCAUGCUUGUCAUUAUUGUAGUUCCCUUUUUUAAAAAAGAUUUUGACAAUCCGUGAAUCCCUCCCCCAAUUGUGUAAUUGUGUCUGUCGUGGUCUCGUGUUAUGUGUGGUGAGUUUAGAUUAUUAUGGAUUACAUCCGAAAAUUAAGCUUACAAAUGGGUAGUUUGAACCCAAAUAUUAUUUUUUACCUGGAACCGCGACUAAAACAUGAUCUUAUUUAAUUAAUUCUACGUAAGCAAAAUUACUAUCAAAAUAAGACUAACAAUUAAAACAAAACGAUUUUUGAUAUUUUUCAAGAUUUAAAAUAACUACAAAAAUAAAACAAUUUUUUUGUAAUAUUCGUUUUUAUAUAAAGGUAAAAUAUAAAGUACUAUUUUUUGUAUUUUUUAAGUUUAAAAUAACUACAAAACAUUAAUGAAACUAUAUAUUUUUUUGUAUUUUUGAAAUUGUACAAAAAUUAAAAACAAGGUGCUAUUUUUGUAUUUUUCAAGUUUAUGAGAAAUACAUAAACUAAAUUUUAUAUACCACUUUUUUUGUGAUUUAUCUUUUUGUAACGAAAUAAAGUAAAAGUGCCAAAAUUAGCUGAAAUUGUAAACAUUGAUAUUAGACUCAGAAAUCAUGGAAAAUAUAGAGAGAGAAACUAGAGAGAAGGAGGAGCAUUUGAGAACUCUCUAGAAUAGAGAGAGAAUUUAUUAAACAGAAAAUGAAAUGAAAUGAAGUCCCGGUACGUGAGAAAAUAUCUUCCCUACACUAUAUACAAGUUACAUACUAAAGGCCGGGUCGGGUGAUCCGGUCCAAAGUUAAAUAAUAGCCUGUGGGCUCAGAUACACGAUCAUCAUAGCCCAAUUACAAGAUAUACCAUGGAUAUACCGAAAAUGUACAAUGCAACUUGAGCAACAAUGGAUGAAGUAUGGUGCCUGGCAAAGGCUUGGUCAGAAGGUCAGCGAGCUGGCGAGUGGUAGGUACAUGGAACAGUUGAAUAAGGCCAUUCUGGAGCAGAUCGCGCACAAAAUGACAAUCCACUUCAAUGUAUUUAGUCCGUUCAUGAAAAACAGGAUUCUUGGUAAUGUGAAUGGCUGUCUGGCUGUCAAUACACAUAAAAAGGAAGAGAGACAGAAACACCAAGAUCAAGAAAUAAACGAGACAACCAAGACAGUUCAGCAACAACCUUACUUAGGGCCUUGUAUUCAGCCUCAGCAGAAGACAAAAAGUCCACUGGUUGCUUAUUAGAUUUCCAACUAAUCAAAGAACCACCCAGAAUAAUACAGAACCCAGUAACAGACCUCCUUAUAUCAGGGCAGGCAGCCCAGUCACUAUCAGAAUAACCAACAACAGUGAAAUCAUUGCAAUCAGAAUAAAAGAGGCCCAGAGAAGGGGUACCAAGGACCUCAAAUCCCUCCGAUGUGGGACAACUCAACACCCCCCUCACGCCCAGAUCUCUGGAGCGUGGAUUACAUAAAUGGGGGCCCAACAUCGGUAACAAUAAUUGGGAUGGGCCUGACUCUGAUACCAUGUAAACAUUGAGAUUAGACCGAGAAAUCAUGGAAAAUAUAGAGAGACAAACUAGAUAGAAGGAGGAGCGUUUGAGAACUCUCUAGAAUAGAGAGAGAAUUUAUUAAAUAAAAAAUGAAAAUGAAAUGAAGUCCGGGUAGGUGAGAAAAUAUCUCCCCUACACUAUAUACAAGUUACAUACUAACGGGUCGGGUCGGGUGAUCCGGCCCAAAGUUAAAUAAUAGCCUGUGGGCUCAGAUAAACAAUCAUCAUAGCCCAAUUACAAGAUAUACCAUAGAUAUACCAAAAAUAUACAAUGAGUAUACACAAAAUGUACAAGGCUAUACAAGGCUAUAUCAUGUGUUUUCUCCUAUCUCAACAUAGACCGAAACAUCUAGCCAAGAUAACAAGUACAAGUUACAUACUAACUGGUCGGAUCGGGUGAUCCGGCCCAAAGUUAAAUAAUAGCCUGUGGGCUCAGAUACACAAUCAUCUUAGCCCAAUUACAAGAUAUACCAUGGAUAUACCGAAAAUAUACAAUGAGUAUACAUAAAAUGUACAAGGCUAUACAAGGCUAUAUCAUGUAUUUUCUCUUAUCUCAACAGAAAUAGCUAUAUUAAGCGUAAAUUAAAUAUUUUAUGCUAAAAAUAUAAAAAAUCUCGGGGAGGGUCAAAAGUCACAUAUCUACAGCUGCCCCUCUUUGACUGGAAAUACGAAGAGUUUUCAGACAAAGAACGACUAUAUAUGUUUUCAGACCCGACCCUUAUUUGGAGAGACUAAACUAAAGGAGAGGGAGAAAAUGUGACCGAGCCCAGGUAUCUGAUCUGCCUACAUAUCCUUAGCUAUAAAGGAAUCAGGUCACAUGUAGUUCAGAAGUGAGUAAGAUGAUUGAGUAUACCGAUGUGGAGAGCCGAUCGAGGUUCCGUUCCGUCGAGGUUCCGGAUUGCGGUCCUGCUAUUACAUCAAAAAUCAAAACAUGAAAAAGACUAACUAAGUCUAUCAGCUACUAGUUACAAAGGUUCUUAUCUAUAUGUCUUCUGAAGCUUGAUAUUGAGUUUUGAAUGGUGCUUCAUGCGGACUUUAGAUUUGAAACUUGAUGCUUGUUAGGUGUAGGUGCUAGUUCAAUUUUCUUUAGCUUCUUCAAAAUCAAGACAGGACAUGCAAAUCUUGUGACUUUAACCAUGUCUUGAGCAUACUACAUCUUCUCCACUUCUGCACUUUGAAUUCACUUUUUUUUAUUCAUUUCUCGUUUUUCUUUUUCUUUAUUGUGACUGACUUUUGUUGAUCAUCUCAAUCUGUUGACUCGCAUUCUUGCCGCGAGCUUAUGCUACUUCUAACUUGUAUUGAAUGCUGGGGAUUUUUGUUGUAACCUUCCGCUCUCCGGGAGGGAUCCUACAAUCAAAAUAACCAAAACAAAUAAACUUUCCUACCCAAUUUGCGCUAUGAAGAUUUGUGAGUAGUUAGCAAAAUUGUAAACCACUUAUACUACUGAUGUAAUGAAGAGUGUAAACUAGACUAGGAUGUGUGUCUCCUAUGAGUAAAACCAAAAAACUCUGACUAGCAGGUGCGUCUGAUAACAUAAAACAUGAAUGAACCAAACCUAUGAAGUGCUUCUCCUAAUGAUGAAUUUAAAUGACCAAGACUAGGAACUGUGUCUCCUCGGGGUGAAAACUUCAAUGAAUAAAACUAGGAAGUGCAUCUCCUAGCGAUGAAAACUUCAACGACUAAAACUAGGAAAUGCGUCUCUAGGGGUGAAAACUUUAGUGACUAAAACUAGGAAGUGCGUCUCCGAUGGGUAAAACUUGAAAUAAAACUUUAAAAAGACAAUUUUGUCAGUUAAAAAAGGCGAUGAUAAGUUAUGAUACUCCUGUUGGGGAUGGUUUUUUUAUCUUAGGUAAAAAAUUCAUCAGACUAAGAUUUUCAUCGUAGGGGAAAGUUUGAGCAGACUAAGAUUUUUAUUUUAUCUUAGGUGAAAAAUUCAUCAGACAAAGAUUUUUUAUCUUAGGUGAAAGUUUCAAUAGACUAAGAUUUUUAUUUUAUCUUAGGUGAAAAAUUCAUCAAACUAAGAUUUUUUAUCUUAGGAGAAAAAAAACUUCAUCUGACUAAGAUUAUCUUGGGAGAAAAAUUCCAUCGGACCAAGAUUUUGACUCUAGGAGAUAAUCCCUCAGACUAGGUCCAUUUUUUGAAUCCAGACUUUCUUAAUUUUUUGCCAAAUUCAGACUUUUUUUUGUUUUCUUUUUUGUUUUUCAAAUUUAGAUUUUGUUUUUUCAAAUUCAGACUUCCUUUCUUUUUCUUUUUCUUUUUCUCAAAUUCUGCCGUCCCUUCUUUAAAAAUUACGCCUUCCUUUCUUUUUAAGUUAUCGUACGAGAAAAUUCAUUGGACUACAAAUUGUUAUAUAUUAGGAGAAAAUUCAUCUAACUAAGAGAGUUAUAUUAUCUUAGGAGGAAAAUUCCAUCGAACCAAUAUUUUAUCUUAUCUUGGGAGAAAAAUUCCAUCAGACCAAGAUUUUGACUCUAGGAGAUAAUUCAUCAGACUAGGUCCAUUUUGUUGUGAUCUAGGGAGAAAGAUUCAUCGGACUAAGAUUUAAUAUCUUAGGAGAAAAUUUCAUCGGACUAAGAAGAUCGGAACUAGGUCCAUUUUGUUGUGAUCUUAGGAGAAAGAUUCAUCUGACUAAGAUUUGAUAUCUUAGGAGAAAAUUUCAUCGGACUAAAAUUGUUAUAUCUUAUCUUGGGAGAAAAAUUCCAUCGGACCAAGAUUUUAUCUUAUCUUGGGAGAAAAAUUCCAUCAGACCAAGAUUUUUAUGUCUUACCUUGGGAGAAAAAUUCCACCAGAGCAAGAUUUUAUCUUAUCUUGGGAGAAAAAUUCCAACGGACCAAGAUUGUAUUAGGAGGGAAAUCCAUCAGACUAGGACUUUUUAUCCUAGGAGGAAAAUUUAAAGAUCAAAGAUUUGAGAAACUUACCUUUGUUAUAUCUUCUUUUCUUUUUUUUUUCCUUGCAUUGCUUUGUUCUGUUUCAACUCUCAAACAAAGAAAAAUUUAUCAGUUUUAAAAAUGGUGGCCGAUUUGUGGCCUUGCUGGGGAUGGCUUCCUCCUUUAAAAGCCAAUGUUGUCUUCCUUCGAGACUACUGGAUAACAUUGCUUGGGAAUUACUCACUUACCUGCUGGGGAUAAUAGUGCCGGGGAAUCUCCUUGUGUUGUCUUCCCCUGAAACUACUGGGAUAACAUUGCUGGGGAAUUACUUACUUGCCUGCUGGGGAUAAUACCGCUGGGGAAUCUCCUUUCGUCUCCUCUUUUCUCUCUUUUCUUUUCCAAAAUUAUUUUCUCUCAACACUGCUGGGAUAAAAGUGCUAUCAUUUGGGGAUAAAUUUGUUGACGAUAACGCAACUGGGGGGAAUUUUAUUCCUUCAAAAUCGGUGCUUCAUUCUUCUAGAAGUUGCCGAGGAUGGCGCUGGCCUUUUGCUUUUUCUGAGCACAAGUUUCAUCCUUUUGUUCGUGCCUCUGGGGAUACCACUUCCCUCAUUAAACUUGUUAUUCUAGGGAUAACACUGGUUCAAUGAUCUCUUAUUUUGAGAUUUGUAUUAUUUUCCUUUUUCCCCAAGUGGUUACCUGAUUUUUUCAGAAAUUUGCCAAAUGAAAGGAAAGUUUUCUGCCCCAGUUUGAUAAUCUUCCUCGUGUCAUGCCUUUCCGCCAUCAAUGUCAUUUUCUUUUACCUGCUUCCAAUCAAAGAAAAUUUAUUAGUUUUAAACUGGUGAGUGGUUGUGCCACUCCUGCUGGGGAUGGUUUUUCCCUUUCUCCUUCCCUGCUCUGCAUUCCAUUACACUAUCAAAACUUGCUGGGGAGGAUGUUAUGGUUGUGCCACUCCUGCUGGGGAUGCUUUUUCCCUUUCUCCUUCCAUGCUCUGCAUUCCAUUACUCUAUCAAAACUUGCUGGGGAAGAUGUCAUUUGCUGGCCUUAGCAUGACUUGCUUUGCCUUGCGUCGUCUGGCCAUCUUGAAACUUGGUCGAUAAUUUUCGACCAUCUUGAUGACUCCUUAUUCACAAGCCUUUCACCGUUGUUUUCCACUUGUAUCCUGACCACCCACAUUCAUAUGACGGUGAAUCCGCUUGAGGAUUUUGCAUGUUUUACUGAUGAACCACUUUCUUCGUUCAUCCGAUGUCACUAAAAUACCUUAACUGCUAGGGAUAUCCCUCUUCUUGAGGAUUUUGCAUGUUUACUGAUGAACCACUUUCUUCGUUUAUCCCAUGUCACUGAAAUACCUUUUCUGCUAGGGAUAUCCCUCUUCUUUUGUGGCAUAACUAGGGAACUGACAUUUCCCUCUGCCUUGGAGUCUCAUAUGAAUCUCCAAUUCAUGCCCAUCGUUUUCAACGUCGUUCUCCCUUGAUUUGUCCACUGGCCUUGGCCUUGAGGCUUAUAACCUUUGAUUCCCGCACGCUAUCUUUCUUGACACUGAUCCACCCCUUUGUCAAUCUCCUCUUGCUGGGGAUAUCCUUUUUAAUACUUGCCUUGUGUUUUUCAUUCCUGAAUUAUACCACUUGGAUGUACUAGUCAGAUCUCCUUUGCAUAAUUGGAAAGCUGAUGGCAGAUUGCGAAGUCAUUUCUCACUUGUUCUAACCAAACAGACUCUACUGAGGAAUUUUCUAUGAAAGGAGAAAGAUAAAAAGGAACAGAGUAAACGACAAAGGAAAGAGAUGACACUCUAACAAGAAAAACUAUAAAAUCAAAACCUAUCAAACGCGGAUACGGACUCUAAUGGUCAUGACAUACACAUGUGGCCUAUCCUCCGUCGGCAACCGUCUUUCAAGAUCUUCGUUUAGUGAUUCCCCGUCUAAUUCUUAACUUUAUUCGACUUGUAGUGCCCGAAGGUUUUCACUGUCAAGCCUCUCUCAUUUUGGCUUUUCUCUNNNNNNNNNNNNNNNNNNNNNNNNNNNNNNNNNNNNNNNNNNNNNNNNNNNNNNNNNNNNNNNNNNNNNNNNNNNNNNNNNNNNNNNNNNNNNNNNNNNNNNNNNNNNNNNNNNNNNNNNNNNNNNNNNNNNNNNNNNNNNNNNNNNNNNNNNNNNNNNNNNNNNNNNNNNNNNNNNNNNNNNNNNNNNNNNNNNNNNNNNNNNNNNNNNNNNNNNNNNNNNNNNNNNNNNNNNNNNNNNNNNNNNNCACCGUAAUGUGGGAUUUGGAUAGGCUAGAAAGAAAGGGUAUUUAAAGUCUAAAACAACACAUCAAUUUAGUUUAAAAAUACAACCUUCGAAACUAGAUUAUUUUAUAAUAAACAUAAUUUUUGCCCCAGUUUCUUUCUUGGGGAUUUUUGAUUUUUAUUUACACUAUGACUGAGCUGUGAGGCGCCUAUGUAUCCUCCUUGAGGAAUCAGGUCGAACGUAGUUCACAAUUCCUAUUUGUUUUUCUAGUUUUCCUUUUCGCUUAUUAUUUUUCUUAUCUUUCUUUUAUUUUUCUUUUCCUUUUCCUUUUCUCGUUUCUCUUUAGCUUUUUGUUUUCUGUUUUUGUUGUUUUCUCUUUUUCUUUCUCUUUCUUAUGUUUUUCUGUUUGUUUUUCUACCUUUUGCUAUUGAUUCCUAAAUAGGGGUAUGAAAGAAAAAAAAAUACGGCUCAAAGGGCUAAUGAAUGAUAAAGUGUUUAGGUAGCAAGACAAAAUACCUUCGUCAUUCCAAUCUUCAAAACAUACCAAGUGCAAACAACACGAUUAACAUUCGCCACAUAUUUAUAGCACUUUGGGGUAACACUCUCAUUUUCAUUACCGCGAACGACCCCCAUGUCAACAUGGCCAACUUGCCUUUACGGUUUACUUUACGUUUUACUUUCCCCAGUUUUGGGGCUACACUCUCAUUUUCAUCACCGCGACCGACCCCUAUGUCAACAUGGCCAACUUGCCUUUACGGUUUUCUUUACAUUUCACUUGCCCCAGUUUCUCAUGACUCGGGCUCCAAAUAAUCUCAAACCGUUCUUAUUUAUUUUAAAUAUCCCGAUCACCUCCCAAUGGUUUUAUGAUCAACUUUAAAGAUUAUGCCCAAAUUAUGCGCGCAUGUCAUGUCACUAGAAUCGGCGCUUGAACAAAACAAAACAAAAGGGUAAAAAGGACUAAAUAAAGAAGAUUACUGGAAGUAACAAAAGACCGGAAUUUAUAUUAGACAAAUGGUGAAACAGUUUAAAUAACAAAACAAGCAAAACAAACUGGAGUACAACCCUUAGAAUGAAAUUGAAACAAAAUGGACAACACUAAACAAACCACCAUUACUAAACAAACUAGACAAAAUGAAAGGACAAGAGGGUUUAAGUCGCAAGACAAUAUCUGGAUUACCACCCUUAAAAUAACCCGGGCAACAGAAAUGACAACAAAACGAACCACCAAAGCUCCACUUCGGCUAACCAGAAGAUGGAGCAUCUUUCCAAUUACCAAAUUCAGUUUCUUAGCCUUGAGUUCUGCAUCCACAAUGCCAGGAGCUUCACAAAAUAUUUCAGGACAAAUUAUGACCAUCAUGUCGGUCUCGUUAUGCGCAGGCGAUGGACUUUCGUUGGUGUCUACUGUGUUCGGAUUUUGGACGAUAAUGUCACCCGCAUCAAUAAGCUCCUUAUUUGCUUUCUUCAACCUCCAACACCUUUCUAUAUCAUGCCCUGAGGAAUCUAAGCAAUGUGCAUACCUUUGAGACAAAUCACCCUUCUCCGAUGGAUGUUUUGGCAUUUUUAUCUGGAUCAGCUUCAACAUGCCCAAUUGCUUCAACUCUUGGAACCAACUGGCAAAUGACUUUGCAAUAGGGGUGAAAGCCUUUCCUCGUUUCAGCAACCUCUCGCUCCUAAAUGCUUGAUUUGGCCUAAAAACUUACCCGGGCUAGUAUGCUCGUGGGGGUGGAUAGGCAUGUUGUGGAGCUGGGUACUUGGAGAGUGGAGCAUGUCUUUGGAAGUCCCUUGGAGAGAAGUAGCGGUUUGGAGAAUUACAAGGAUAUCCACGGGGUUGAUAAAUAGCUCGAGGGAAUUUGGCUAGGACGACCACUGGACCCUGUCAUUGGGGAGGUUCAACAACAUCUUUUCUUUUUAUGGGAAGGUUAUCUCGAACAACUUGCUCACUCCAUUUGAACCAGAACUUCCCAUAAUCUUUUUUAGGCUUCUCCUUAAUCUGAGAUAUGGAGGAAUGGUCGGGAGAUUCCAAGGUUCGAGUAAGGACACCAUUAGAGAAACCAAUCGGUGGCGAUACGGGUGCCUUCCCAGCUAUCCAUGCCUGAUACAUGUCUUCCACAUGUUGUCUCAACAUUUGUACCUCUUCUACCAACCCAAUAUCCUAUUCGACCAGCUACUUUCCGGCACCAGUAUCCGCCAACUCAGUUUUGUUGUUCUUGGCCAUCACCUUUUGACUCGUGUUGUAGAGGAGAUUUACCACUUUAAAACCACAACCAACCACCUUUCUUUAUGCUAUAAAAUAAAACAUGUUAGAAUGGACCCCAGUCGGUACUUAUUAUUAUCAACAUUUUUCCCUUUUUUCCCAUUAUUUUCUUAUAUACAGCUGUGGUCGAAUCUUAUGGAGAUUGCGUACGUAUCAUGACCCCGCAUGAAUCAGACCUUGCUUAGUUUGGGCCAAUAAAAGUUAAACAACAAUAAAAUAUAUAUAUUUUUUCAAUUUUCAUGAUAAAACAAACUGGGUUUCAAAGGUUUAGAGAUGACCUACAAACUCGAAAAUCAAACAACCCACAUAAUCUAAUCAAAAGAAUUGAAAACUCAAAAACAAACGGCCAACUUCCUUUCCCUAUUUACCACUUUUAACCAAAUGACUAUUUUUGGCAAACGUGGACCUUUCUCAAUUUCACAGGAAUUUAGAGGCCGGGAAGGAUUAUUUCAAAAAUAUGUCCGUUCUUUUAUGAAAAUAGCCUUUCGACAACUGAAAGAUACUCUAAGGCUAUCUCGGCAAGAACGGUUUAAUACACUGCUGAAGCUGGCUCGGCUUAUUUCGACCAGAAAUCCAAACGACAUCCACUUGCCCAAUAACUCUUUUUCUUUUCAAAUUAAAAUAAAAGACCAGGUUUUGCAAACACGGCCCUUCAGCACCCCAGGAUGAAGAUUUUAAGGUUGCGUAGCUAACCGGCCAAAAUCCUAAAAUAAUGAUAAAAGGUGGUUGUUAAUGCAAAGUUAGCUUUCCGGCAUCCCUUUCGAAAACAUUCGGCUAUGUUUUGACAAAAUGUUACCCCACUUAUUUAUGACUCCUUUUUUGUUUUUCUACAAUAAAAAUACAAAAUUCGAUAUUUGCAAACACGGCCUUUCAACGUCUCGGGGACGAAGCUUCUAAGGCUGUGUGGGUCAGUCACCAAAAAUCUAAAACUAUGACCGAAGGUGUCCGUUUAUGCAAAGUCAGCCUUCCGACACAUUCGGCUAUUUUAAACAAAAAAUGGCAUCACCCGACUCAUUUAUGACGACAAUUAAAUUUUUAAUUUUUUGGCUGUUCUAGCAAAGAGGGAGGUUGGACCCGAUGAGAGUUGCAUACAUUUCUCACACCCUGUAAGAAUUAAACCGGCGUAGUUCACCAAAUUAACUGAACUAUUUUAAAACAAGACUCUUUUUUUAUUUUAUUUUUGGCAGCAAAUAACAAAACCAUUUCAAAGCACGACUCUUUUUAUUUUUAUUUUUGGCAUUUCAUAAACAAAAUAAAAAACAAUUUUAAUAAACAAGACUCUUUUUUCAUUUUUAUUUUUCAGCAAACAAUUUUCCAAAAAUGAAAGACUUUUUUUUCUUCUAUUUUUCCCUUGCUUUUAGUAAAAUAGACUAUUAAAAAUAAAAUAUUUUCCUCUUUUUUUAAUUUUCAGAAUUUCGGCAGAGUUUCCCGAGUACUUUUCUAAAACUAAAUAAUUAACUCUCUACACUGCUAUUUCUCUCUUUUUCUCUUUUUUACAAUAUUACCGAUAUUCAAAACCGGUUAGCAUGCAAGUUUGAAACAAAUAAAUGCGUAAAACAAACAGGAUGCAGCAGGAUGGUCAUUUCACUUCAGGUUACUAGUCCUAGACGGACCCAACCCCUGUGUUGAGCCCCCUAAGUCUAAUGCACAUGAUGCAAAUAAACGUUCCUACUAGGGAUCCAACAUGAAGUUUUGUUAUACUAGGUUCAAACUUGGGUUUUUAUUCUAGACCUGGCUUACCCGAGCGGACAACUCGAGCCGAGGAUGGGAACUGCGUACUGGUAACCAAAAGAUCCUCCGAUUUUGCAACUCCACCGAAUCCUUGAUCUAUUUUGGGAUUGUGACACUAACAAAAAGAAGUCACGAACAGCGUGCACUCCUCAACAGAGAGAAGAGAGGGGUUUCGGCACAAUUUAUAUAUACAGUUCAAAUAAUAUCAAAGCGGCAAAAAACACCAUUUCGCACAUUAAGCACAGAUCAUAUAAAAUAUCAGAUAAUGAAUAAAACCAAACAAAACAAUUUAUUCUAAGCUCUAAUUUCUAUCCCUGAACCAAUGGUUCUGGGUCAUUGAGUCCCCAGCAGAGUCGCCAGAGCUGUCACACCUCCUUUUUCAGCCACCGCGGGGCGCAAGGGAGUUUUUUCAAUGAAAGGACAAUCGAAACGGGAUUUAUUAUUAAAGAUUCAGAGUCGCUACUUGAGAGAUUUAUGGUGUCCCAAGUCACCAGUUGAAUACCGAAUCGAGGAAAAUAUUGACUCUGUAUUACAGUCCGCGAACCAGAAAUCCAGAUAAGGACUAUUAACCCGGGAGAAGGUGUUAGGAAUUCCCGAGUUCCAUGGUUCUAGCAUUGUCACUCAACUGUCGUAUUCGGCUUAUUUAUCUGAUUUUAACAAUUAUGUACUUAGUGCAAGUCAAGGCUCUUUUACCGUUUUUAUUAUUGUUGUUGUCAUUUUGGAAAAGAAUUGCAACGUCGUGAAAACAUGUCUCAAACCACGUCACAACCAGUGUAUGCGUGGUCGUCGACACAUUUCGACUUCGUUGAGAUUUGGAUUUGGGUUGCAUAAAUGCAUGCCCAUAUUUUAGGAAGUAACUUUAUUAAAGACGCGCCCUAAGAGUCUAGCAUAGUAUAGUUUUGGGCGAGGCCGUGGACUUUUGUUUAAACGGCCCAUUUCGGUGUCUAAGCAAUUUUGCAUAACAAACAUGUAUAGAGGGCCCCGUAAUUUGCAAUUUAUUGGGCGAGACUCGUCUCAUUUUACUAUUUGAAAGGCAAACCUAAUGCAACUACAAUAUCUUUUUUUACUUUGCGAGGGCCAUGAAAAAUUCAACUAAUGCCACGUCCCGGUUUCUAUGUGGUUAAAAUUAAUUAAGUGAGGGCCAUGAGUUUUCGAAUAAAUUGAUAUGGAAUCAAUAUAUUGUUUUACAUUAUCAAUUUGCAUAUUCUGUUUUUACAUAAUACUAGCCAAAAUAUAUUUUCACAGUAACAAAUAUUAGCAAGGAACAUUGAUCCACAUUACUAGGAGAGCUAAGAAAAUAAGCUGAAAAUAUUUCAAGUUUACACGCAACUGCAUAUAUUUUAUAUAAAAAAACGUGAAAAAAGGGACUAAAAUAUGCAUGAUACACAUGUACAUCAGUAUAUGAAGACGUGCCUAUGCGUAUUCAAGGCAUGGAUUUACAUGCCACUGCAUAUAUUUAUAUUAAAAACGUGAAAAAGGGACUAAAAUAUGCAUGAUACACAUGUACAUCAGUAUAUGAAGACGUGCCUAUGCUUAUUCAAGGAAUGGAUUCAUUUUCAUCCUAGAAAGAUCAAUAAUUCUACAUGACACAUCCAUUUUUUCUAUCUAUUGGACCACAAUAUCAGAUUAGCAGCACAAAUGAAACAAAAAUAUAGAGAAAUGAGAGACUUACCUAACAGUAAAAAUAGGUGAAUCUGACGAUCCAAACAAAAACCAACUGGAAGUUUAUAUCCAAUGAACUAGCUGCCAAAUUCAGUUCCCUUUGCACCUCAAUA